Molecule: ribosomal RNA, 253 nt
Filed under: uncultured bacterium
Lineage: Bacteria
Description: partial 16S ribosomal RNA
Rfam family: Bacterial small subunit ribosomal RNA
Source: RNAcentral
UACGUAGGCAGCGAGCGUUGUUCGGAGUUACUGGGCGUAAAGGGUGUGUAGGCGGUUUUCUAAGUUUGGUGUGAAAUCUCCCGGCUUAACCGGGAGGGUGCGCCGAAAACUGGGAGACUAGAGUGCGGGAUGGGAGAGUAGAAUUCCUGGUGUAGCGGUGAAAUUCGUAGAUAUUAGGAAGAACACCAGUGGCGAAGGCGGCUCACUGGUCCGGUACUGACGCUGAUGUGCGAAAGCGUGGGGAGCAAACAGG